UAGUCCACGCCGUAAGCGAUGAGAACUAGAUGUUGGGAGGGUCAGCCUCUCGGUGUCGCAGCUAACGCAUUAAGUUCUCCGCCUGGGGAGUACGCCGGCAACGGUAAAACUCAAAGGAAUUGACGGGGACCCGCACAAGCGGUGGAGCAUGUGGUUUAAUUCGAUGCAACGCGAAGAACCUUACCAUCCCUUGACAUCCUCAGAAUGAUCUGUAAUCGAUCAGUGCCUUCGGGAACUGAGUGACAGGUGCUGCACGGCUGUCGUCAGCUCGUGUCGUGAGAUGUUGGGUUAAGUCCCGCAACGAGCGCAACCCCUAUCUAUAGUUGCCAGCACGUAAUGGUGGGAACUCUAUAGAGACUGCCGGUGAUAAGCCGGAGGAAGGGUGGGGGACGACGUCAAGUCAUCAUGGGCCCUUACGGGGAUGGGGCUACACACGUGCUACAAUGGUGCAUACAGAGGGGUCGCCAACCAGCGAUGGGGGAGCUAAUCUCAG
This 493-nucleotide ribosomal RNA is filed under the name uncultured bacterium. Its description in RNAcentral is "bacterial SSU rRNA". It matches the Rfam family "Bacterial small subunit ribosomal RNA", at positions 791 to 1277 of the family's 1533-position model. The record is from RNAcentral.